UGAACUUUGCUACUCUGAGGCAUUAUAGUUUGCAUUAGCCACUACAUUCUGUCAUGCACACCAUAUUCAGGGCAUAUAUUAGAACACAUUUGCAUAAGAAAUUAUGAACUUUUAACUUAUCCAAAUCACCAAAAUACUCCAAAAAAAAAAAGUAAAACAUGUAGCAGUUACCUUUCAAAGAUGGAUCCUUGAAUAUUUCCACUGAUCCACUGAGCAUCUCUUAGCUCAAGGGGCUGGGAUGAAAAAACCAUUCAUCCGCCUGCCGCCUGCCAAGUUCUUAAAGCCCUUUCUUUUACCAAAAAGUGAGUGAACCCAGAAGUCCAAUAAGUUCUUCAGACAUUGCCUGUUGCCUGUUGCCAGUAUGAAAUAGAGGCUGCCCGCAUCCCUAGUUGACUGAGGUCCAUGGAAAGAGCUGCUCCUUUUGCUCGCUUACAUCUUCCCCUGGCUUAGCAGGUUUUAUCAGAUACUGGCUUUUUGGGUUUCUGGUUUCCAAGGCUACAACCAGCUGAGAACGGGGAUUUUUUGUCCACUCUUUAUACUUUGACUGCCUUAACAGUUACCCAAAACUAACAACCGGAGCCCUUACCCUAUUGUUUUGCCUUCCCUACAUAAUCUGGGAACUGAAGAAUAGAUGCUUGAUCUUAUGAACCAAACUUCUCACAAAAAUCAUUGUCCUAUGAUCAUUAACAGAAG
Molecule: long non-coding RNA, 693 nt
Filed under: Phoenix dactylifera (date palm)
Lineage: Eukaryota; Viridiplantae; Streptophyta; Magnoliopsida; Arecales; Arecaceae
Description: long non-coding RNA (PDAC_LNC007685)
Source: RNAcentral